UAGAAGACGGGCUGCGGGAUUUGUCAAAGCCUCAUCAGGGAACCUUCUAGCAGAUUUUGACAAGCAAUUCGCUCCCAAUUCUUUAGCAGUCAGCUUCCAUCCUCAGUGUAUCAUCAGUGAGAAUGGCUUCAUUAGACUUCUGCUGUCACUCACAGCUGCUUUUUUUCCUCUCUCUCUCCAUACUGCAACAGGCAGGAAGUAUCAAAAUGCCUUCUUCAUUAACGGAGCCGUUCGGCAGUUACCCCUCUAUGGUAAACGGCUCCCCCCUCUGGCAGAAGCUCCAAUUGACCCACAUUCGCCCAAUUACAGCUCCUUCUUCGUCUCCUCUCGGCGCGUUUUGAAACUCAGAAGCAAGAGCUGGAAGCAGAGUUCAUGAUGAACAUCUGAUCUUCUACAGCAUCACACUAAACAGUCUGAAGAAAAAUUAUGUUAGGAAAUUACAAUUUAUUGGAAUAAUAAAGAGAAAACUUUACAUAUUUCUCUCUAAUCAAGUUUUAUUGAAGAAAGUCAAAGAGACAGAACAGCAGAUAUUUAUGUCUGUGAUCUAAAUCUAAAAAUUGAGAAGAAAACAUCAGUUCA
Molecule: long non-coding RNA, 579 nt
Organism: Poecilia latipinna (sailfin molly)
Lineage: Eukaryota; Metazoa; Chordata; Actinopteri; Cyprinodontiformes; Poeciliidae
Exons: 2
Source: RefSeq, a predicted model, not a curated record